GCAGUUUUGUUUAUGUAAAUAAGUGUGUCAGAGACCGAAGGCUGUGAACACUCUCCUUGUAAUGCUUCUGGAAAUGGCCCCGGAAAGUUAGCUGGGGCAGUUGUAGGUGAUCAUGGUCCUUACCCUGCCUGCUGUCCAGUGUCUGAAGACAACAAAUGUUUUUCUGAUUUUUCAGGGGUUUUUUUGAGGCAGGAAAGUGAAUCUAUUUCCUAGUAGCCCAUAUGGCUAGAAGUAAUAUGGCCGGUGUCUUUAUUUUUAACUAAGAUGAAUGGCGAAAUAGCUUCCUUUUCUUAAAUACAAAUGACAUAAAAAUAUGAAUUCUAGCCUUUAACAUUACUGGAAGAAAGUUUCUCAGGUUUUUACCCCUAGUGAUGCGUAUAUUUGUCGCUGGUACUCAAUCUAUAAACCGCAUCAAUUAAGAGUUGGUGCUGUGGGCUGGGGUCAAAGCACAAUGUAGAGCAUUUGCCUACCAUGUGUGAGGCACUGGGUUUGAUGCUCAGCACCGCAUAUAAAUAAAUAAAAUAAACGUCCAUUGACAACUAAAAAACAUUUUUAAAAGUGUUAAAGUGGAUCAAGGAUCUCGGCAUUAGUCCAGAUUAGAAGAAAAAGUAGGCCCAAUACUCCUUUAUGUCAACUUAGGAAUGCACUUCCUCAGGAGCCUAAAGCAAGAAGUAAAACCAAGAAUCAAUAAAUGGGAUGCUAUCAAGUUAAAAACUUCUUCACAGCAUAGGAAACAAUAAUGUGAACAGAGUGCCUGAGGAAUGGGAGAAAAUCUUUACCAUCUGCACCUCAGAGCAUCCAUCACCAGGAUGUACAAAGAACUUAGAAAACUUACCACCAGAAAAUAAAGAAAAAAAAAAAAACUCUUAGUCAAUAAAUGGGCAAAGGAAUUGAACAAGCACUUCACGGAAGAGGAAAUACAAAUGGUCAACAAAUAUAUGAAAAAAAAAUGUUCAACAUCUCUAGCAAUUAGAGAAAUGCAAAUUAAAACUAUGCAGAGAUUCCAUCUUACUCCAGUCAGAACAGCAAUCAUCAAGAAUACAAGUAAGGGUAAAUAUUGGCAAGGAUAUGGGGGAAAAGGUACACUCAUACAUUGCUGGUGGGACUGCAAAUUGGUGCAAUCACUGUGGAAAGCAAUAAGGAGAUUCUUCAGAAAACUUGUAAUGGAACCACCAUUUGAUCCAGUUAACCCACUAUUCGGUAUCUACCCAAAAAACUUAAAAUCAGCUUUCUACAGUGACACAGCCACAUCAAGGUUUAUAGCAGCUGAAUUCACGAUAGCAAAUCAAUGG
RNAcentral lists this long non-coding RNA (1292 nucleotides) under Marmota monax (woodchuck). Lineage: Eukaryota; Metazoa; Chordata; Mammalia; Rodentia; Sciuridae. The record is from RNAcentral.